CCCUUAGAUGUCCGGGGCCGCACGCGCGCUACACUGAAGGAAUCAGCGUGGCUUUCUCCCUGACCCGAAAGGGUUGGGAAACCCGUUGAAUCUCCUUCGUGAUAGGGAUUGGGGCUUGAAAUUGUUCCCCAUGAACGAGGAAUUCCCAGUAAGCGCGAGUCAUAAGCUCGCGUUGAUUACGUCCCUGCCCUUGUACACACCGCCCGUCGCUACUACCGAUUGAACGGUUUAGUGAGGGCCUCGGAUUGGUCUCGGCCCGCUCUUUACCGGGCGGCGCCGUUGGUCGAGAAGACGCUCGAACUUGAUCGUUUAGAGGAAGUAAAAGUCGUAACA
This 333-nucleotide ribosomal RNA is filed under the name uncultured eukaryote. RNAcentral's name for it is "partial 18S ribosomal RNA". It matches the Rfam family "Eukaryotic small subunit ribosomal RNA", at positions 1470 to 1796 of the family's 1831-position model. The record is from RNAcentral.